AGAACGAACGCUGGCGGCAUGCCUAACACAUGCAAGUCGAACGAGACCUUCGGGUCUAGUGGCGCACGGGUGCGUAACGCGUGGGAAUCUGCCCUUGGGUUCGGGAUAACAGUUGGAAACGACUGCUAAUACCGGAUGAUAUUUUCGGAUCAAAGAUUUAUCGCCCAGGGAUGAGCCGCGUAGGAUUAGCUUGUUGGUGAGGUAAGAGCUCACAAGGCGACGAUCCUAGCUGGUCUGAGAGGAUGAUCAGCCACACGUGGGACUAGAGACGACCGGCCCAGACUCCGUACGGGAGGCGAGCGAGGUAGGGAAGUAGUGGAACAAGUGGGACGUAAAGCCGUGACUCCGAGGAC
This 353-nucleotide ribosomal RNA is filed under the name uncultured soil bacterium. RNAcentral describes it as "bacterial SSU rRNA". It matches the Rfam family "Bacterial small subunit ribosomal RNA", at positions 26 to 412 of the family's 1533-position model. The record is from RNAcentral.